This 917-nucleotide ribosomal RNA is filed under the name Lactiplantibacillus plantarum. RNAcentral describes it as "bacterial SSU rRNA". It matches the Rfam family "Bacterial small subunit ribosomal RNA", at positions 1 to 884 of the family's 1533-position model. Lineage: Bacteria; Bacillati; Bacillota; Bacilli; Lactobacillales; Lactobacillaceae. The record is from RNAcentral.
UAUAAGAAGUGUUUUAUAUCUGCUCAGGACGAACGCUGGCGGCGUGCUAAUACAUGCAAGUCGAACGAACUCUGGUAUUGAUUGGUGCUUGCAUCAUGAUUUACAUUUGAGUGAGUGGCGAACUGGUGAGUAACACGUGGGAAACCUGCCCAGAAGCGGGGGAUAACACCUGGAAACAGAUGCUAAUACCGCAUAACAACUUGGACCGCAUGGUCCGAGUUUGAAAGAUGGCUUCGGCUAUCACUUUUGGAUGGUCCCGCGGCGUAUUAGCUAGAUGGUGAGGUAACGGCUCACCAUGGCAAUGAUACGUAGCCGACCUGAGAGGGUAAUCGGCCACAUUGGGACUGAGACACGGCCCAAACUCCUACGGGAGGCAGCAGUAGGGAAUCUUCCACAAUGGACGAAAGUCUGAUGGAGCAACGCCGCGUGAGUGAAGAAGGGUUUCGGCUCGUAAAACUCUGUUGUUAAAGAAGAACAUAUCUGAGAGUAACUGUUCAGGUAUUGACGGUAUUUAACCAGAAAGCCACGGCUAACUACGUGCCAGCAGCCGCGGUAAUACGUAGGUGGCAAGCGUUGUCCGGAUUUAUUGGGCGUAAAGCGAGCGCAGGCGGUUUUUUAAGUCUGAUGUGAAAGCCUUCGGCUCAACCGAAGAAGUGCAUCGGAAACUGGGAAACUUGAGUGCAGAAGAGGACAGUGGAACUCCAUGUGUAGCGGUGAAAUGCGUAGAUAUAUGGAAGAACACCAGUGGCGAAGGCGGCUGUCUGGUCUGUAACUGACGCUGAGGCUCGAAAGUAUGGGUAGCAAACAGGAUUAGAUACCCUGGUAGUCCAUACCGUAAACGAUGAAUGCUAAGUGUUGGAGGGUUUCCGCCCUUCAGUGCUGCAGCUAACGCAUUAAGCAUCCGCCUGGGAAUUCGA